RNAcentral lists this long non-coding RNA (370 nucleotides) under Mytilus galloprovincialis (Mediterranean mussel). The record is from RNAcentral. Lineage: Eukaryota; Metazoa; Mollusca; Bivalvia; Mytilida; Mytilidae.
CAGAAAUGAAUUUCAAAAUACAAUGACAUAUAGGAAAUAUGUUCUAUCGGAUAUCAUUCACGUUUCUCCAUCGUAUUAAAAAUGAAAUUAUCAGUUAUUUAACUUGCGUGAAACUAUUGGUUAGCUUGCUUUUUGCAGCAAUAAAAUGUUUUAUUUAUUUACAUCCUGAGAUAAGCCAACUUUUAAAACCGACCUAUAAUUUAAAAAAGUAUUAUGUUAACUUGUUUUUUUAUACCCCCGCUUUGAAAAAAAGGGGGGUAUACUGUUUUACCUCUGUCUGUCCUUCCAUCAGUCCGUCAGUCCAUCAGUCCAUCAGUCCAUCAGUCCGUCAGUCUGUCAGUCAGUCCGUCCGUCCCAUGAAUAUUUUUCG